This 67-nucleotide transfer RNA is filed under the name Trichodectes canis. RNAcentral describes it as "tRNA-Leu". Lineage: Eukaryota; Metazoa; Arthropoda; Insecta; Psocodea; Trichodectidae. The record is from RNAcentral.
CUUUAGAUGGCAGAUUAGUGCCUUGAAUUUAGAAUUCAAACAAGUAAUAUUACAAUUACUCUAAAGA